AGCGAACGCUGGCGGUAGGCCUAACGCAUGCAAGUCGAACGGCAGCACAGUAAGAGCUUGCUCUUACGGGUGGCGAGUGGCGGACGGGUGAGGAAUACAUCGGAAUCUACUUUUUCGUGGGGGAUAACGUAGGGAAACUUACGCUAAUACCGCAUACGACCUACGGGUGAAAGCAGGGGAUCUUCGGACCUUGCGCGAUUGAAUGAGCCGAUGUCGGAUUAGCUAGUUGGCGGGGUAAAGGCCCACCAAGGCGACGAUCCGUAGCUGGUCUGAGAGGAUGAUCAGCCACACUGGAACUGAGACACGGUCCAGACUCCUACGGGAGGCAGCAGUGGGGAAUAUUGGACAAUGGGCGCAAGCCUGAUCCAGCCAUACCGCGUGGGUGAAGAAGGCCUUCGGGUUGUAAAGCCCUUUUGUUGGGAAAGAAAAGCAGCAGGUUAAUACCCCGCUGUUCUGACGGUACCCAAAGAAUAAGCACCGGCUAACUUCGUG
RNAcentral lists this ribosomal RNA (492 nucleotides) under uncultured bacterium. RNAcentral's name for it is "partial 16S ribosomal RNA". It matches the Rfam family "Bacterial small subunit ribosomal RNA", at positions 29 to 507 of the family's 1533-position model. The record is from RNAcentral.